AUUGAACGCUGGCGGCAUGCCUUACACAUGCAAGUCGAACGGCAGCACGGGACUCGGGCAACUGAGCCCUGGUGGCGAGUGGCGAACGGGUGAGUAAUGCAUCGGAACGUGCCCAGUAGUGGGGGAUAACUAGUCGAAAGAUUAGCUAAUACCGCAUACGACCUAUGGGUGAAAGCGGGGGAUUCGCAAGAACCUCGCGCUAUCGGAGCGGCCGAUGUCGAUUAGCUAGUUGCGGGGUAAAAGCCCACCAAGGCUUCGAUCAGUAGCUGGUCUGAGAGGACGACCAGCCACACUGGGACUGAGACACGGCCCAGACUCCUACGGGAGGCAGCAGUGGGGAAUUUUGGACAAUGGGCGCAAGCCUGAUCCAGCCAUGCCGCGUGCGGGAAGAAGGCC
This 396-nucleotide ribosomal RNA is filed under the name uncultured bacterium. Its description in RNAcentral is "bacterial SSU rRNA". It matches the Rfam family "Bacterial small subunit ribosomal RNA", at positions 29 to 416 of the family's 1533-position model. The record is from RNAcentral.